GAUGGACGCUGGCGGCGUGCUUAACACAUGCAAGUCGAACGAUGAAGCCCAGCUUGCUGGGUGGAUUAGUGGCGAACGGGUGAGUAACACGUGAGUAACCUGCCCCCGACUCUGGGAUAAGCCCGGGAAACUGGGUCUAAUACCGGAUAUGACCAUGGAACGCAUGUUUUGUGGUGGAAAGAUUUAUCGGUGGGGGAUGGACUCGCGGCCUAUCAGCUUGUUGGUGAGGUAAUGGCUCACCAAGGCGACGACGGGUAGCCGGCCUGAGAGGGUGACCGGCCACACUGGGACUGAGACACGGCCCAG
This 306-nucleotide ribosomal RNA is filed under the name uncultured bacterium. RNAcentral describes it as "bacterial SSU rRNA". It matches the Rfam family "Bacterial small subunit ribosomal RNA", at positions 28 to 334 of the family's 1533-position model. The record is from RNAcentral.